Molecule: long non-coding RNA, 491 nt
Filed under: Solanum tuberosum (potato)
Lineage: Eukaryota; Viridiplantae; Streptophyta; Magnoliopsida; Solanales; Solanaceae
Description: long non-coding RNA (STUB_LNC006696)
Source: RNAcentral
UCCCCACUUUGAGCCUGAAACCUUUUUUUGGACAACCACAUCUUAGCCACUACCCCAUUUAGUGCUUACAUGCACUAUCCCUCUCUUGGCCCAACCUUCUUAAGUGCACCAAAAAUGUGCAAAUUAUAAGAUAAGAUCCAUGUUUGAAGUUGCCAAAGGCAAAAGAUACAAAGUCUCCCAAAGUUGAGAAAGCAAAAAAAAAAACGACUUCUAGAAAAAAAAAAGAAAAAAAAAGAAGGUGGAAAGAAAUAAAGAAAGACAAAAAGGAAAAAAACUCCAACAAAAGAGGAGAAAACUUCAAAACAAAGGGAUGAAAAAGGAAAAGCUCCAACAAAUAAGAAUUCAAAAGAAGUUGAAAAAAAAAACAGGGGACAAUAAAGAGGAUCUGAUGCCAAAGGUGUAUCAAUCAUCAAAAACACAAAUUCACUGGACACUCAAGAAGGAAUGAAGUCACUCUUAUCCCAAAUAUACAUCCUACUCGUCCUUAAGCC